This 635-nucleotide ribosomal RNA is filed under the name uncultured Bacillota bacterium. RNAcentral's name for it is "bacterial SSU rRNA". It matches the Rfam family "Bacterial small subunit ribosomal RNA", at positions 8 to 526 of the family's 1533-position model. Lineage: Bacteria; Bacillati; Bacillota. The record is from RNAcentral.
AGGGUUUGAUCCUGGCUCAGGACGAACGCUGGCGGCGUGCUUAACACAUGCAAGUCGAGCGCAUUCAGAGGUCGGUCAUCAGAGGUCAGAAGUUAGCUAUUGUCUUUUGGUUUCAAGCUGACAGGGGUUGUGGAGUUUAGCUGUUUAAUUUAAUUUCUUUUUGCGGAUGAAGGUUUGGCAGGAUUUUUUUCUGGCUUCUGACGACCGACUUCUGAGGUGAGCGGCGGACGGGUGAGUAACGCGUGGGUGACCUGCCUGGGAGACCGGGAUAACAGUUCGAAAGGGCUGCUAAUACCGGAUGAUAUCGUUUUAUUAGGGUAAAACGAUCAAAGCGUUUAGCGCUCUCGGAUGGGCCCGCGUCCCAUUAGUUAGUUGGUAGGGUAAUGGCCUACCAAGGCUGCGAUGGGUAGCCGGUCUGAGAGGAUGGUCGGCCACACUGGGACUGAGACACGGCCCAGACUCCUACGGGAGGCAGCAGUGGGGAAUUUUGCGCAAUGGGGGGAACCUUGACGCAGCGACGCCGCGUGGGUGAUGAAGGCCUUCGGGUUGUAAAACCCUGUUGCAGGGGACGAAGGAAGUGACGGUACCCUGCCAGAAAGCCCCGGCUAACUACGUGCCAGCCGCCGCGGUAAUAC